Molecule: small nuclear RNA, 105 nt
Organism: Toxorhynchites rutilus septentrionalis
Lineage: Eukaryota; Metazoa; Arthropoda; Insecta; Diptera; Culicidae
Source: RefSeq, a predicted model, not a curated record
CCUAGCUUCGGCUAGACAUAUACUAAAAUUGGAACGAUACAGAGAAGAUUAGCAUGGCCCCUGCGCAAGGCAGAUUUCUCAUCCGUUGCAAGAUCAUGAAUCCAU